Molecule: ribosomal RNA, 368 nt
Filed under: uncultured bacterium
Lineage: Bacteria
Description: bacterial SSU rRNA
Rfam family: Bacterial small subunit ribosomal RNA
Source: RNAcentral
GAUGAACGCUAGCGGCAGGCUUAAUACAUGCAAGUCGAGGGGCAGCAUGGGUAGCAAUACCUGAUGGCGACCGGCAAACGGGUGCGGAACACGUACAGAACCUUCCUUUGAGCGGGGGAUAGCCCGAAGAAAUUCGGAUUAAUACCCCAUAGUAUUUUUGUGUGGCAUCACAUAAAAAUUAAAGAUUUAUCACUUAAAGAUGGCUGUGCGUAUGAUUAGGUAGUUGGUUGAGGUAACGGCUCACCAAGCCUUCGAUCAUUAACUGGUGUGAGAGCACGACCAGUCACACGGGCACUGAGACACGGGCCCGACUCCUACGGAGGCAGCAGUAAGGAAUAUUGGUCAAUGGACGCAAGUCUGAACCAGCC